This is a long non-coding RNA of Ailuropoda melanoleuca (giant panda), 1123 nucleotides long. RefSeq lists it as uncharacterized. The record is from RefSeq and is a predicted model, not a curated record. The transcript has 2 exons. Lineage: Eukaryota; Metazoa; Chordata; Mammalia; Carnivora; Ursidae.
GUUCACGGAUGCCCAGGGGAGGUGCCGGAGGGCAGAGUGUGGCUGCGAGGUCCCCACGUCCACACGGAGAGCCCUCAGACCCCGUAGGUGGCUGAGUCGCUGAGGAAGAUGAGAGCCGGGUUGCUUCUGUAGAAUUGGGUCUGGCCGGGGCUCUGGACAUGGGCUGCACGUUCAUAACUCCUGGGAGGCUUAAAACAUUCCGGACGCGCAAGGUGGACGGCAGACGCACUCAAUCAGAACCCGUGGAGGGAGUGGGUGGUGCUCAGCCACAUUCCUGGUCUGUACCCAGCAGAUACCGGCAGCAUCCUGCCUGCCUGUGACAACCCCCCACCUGGACCCCAACUCUGCAUUUAGAGCCACCCCCACUCCAUGUGGCGAUGGCUCAGGGAAGAGAGGACACGGCAGCCACUUGUUUUCACUUGGUGGCUUUGAAGCCGCUGCUCUACCGACCGGGAGGCUCACAGCUUGGUACCCCGCCUGCGGGGCCCUGACCCAGAACGGGCCUUACCUACUCAGGACACCCUUGCUGGCUGUGGUGUACGACAGAGUUAUCAGCGGGGCCAGUGGAAACCCGAAACCUCCUGUCCCCUUGCAGCAGUGACAGCCACCUCUGUCCCCCUCCCUGUGCUCCAGGCACAGCUCACGGCAGCCUUGUCCAUGUGCUGGCUCAUUGACAAUGGAUGGGUAUGAGUGCCCCGUUAUCCGAGAUCAGGCACCUGAGGCACAGGGCGUUUCAGUGUCCUGCACACAUCCCAUCACGAAGCCUCUAUGACAUCAGCGUUGCCGAUGGAUGCCCAUCUCCUCCGCCCUCCCUGCCGGGAGCACAUCUGCGUGCUGCUCGCCGCUAUGUCUCAGCGUCUAGCACAGUCCUCGGUGCGUGUCCGGAACUCGUCACCUUUCGUCUCAUUCGAUGGGAUCAUACGACGUUGCUUUGUCCACUUCAUCACACCUAACAGUGGUCUGCACAGACUAGUUGUUUGAAGAUAGUUGUCAAAUGGUUACAUGUUUGGUCAAUCAAUAUGUUUUCAACGGAGUGUCCUUACAGUUGACUAUCAGAAAUGACUAUAAAAAUGCUUUUAUUACUGUAUGUUGAUGACUCCAAUUAAAAGCUUUUCCCUAAGCA